ACCACACGCCACACACCACCAAGUAAAAUAGAGAAAGAAAGGAGAGAAUAGAAGGAGAGAGAGAAAUUGCGCAGGUGUAGUAGAUAGAAAUUAAGAGAGGGUAAAUGGAUUUAGUUGUCUCAAUUAGCUUUUCCUUUAUAAAUUGUAUUUGGCAUCACAUACAUAGAAUGGGGUCAAUAGUCAUAGCACUCGGGCAAAAGAAAAACAGUGGCCUUUUGGCCAAGAUAUAUGGAUCUUGAUAGCAAGAGGUGAUCAUGAAGUUCAACGGUGGCGAUUUAUUUGAGGUGUGGAGCCGGAUUAGUGGAAAUUGAAUCGGAGCAUAUAAGGAUUAAUUUGGAGAGGUCUUGGAAGAAUUGAUAAUUUUGAAGUAUCUAGAAGAUUAUUUAGAAGGCGGCUUAAGUUAAUUAUUUUGGUGAUGUAAUUUAUUUAUAGAGAAAAUAGGGACCUAGAAGUGUUUGAAAUAAAAUGUAUUUU
Long non-coding RNA from Rhododendron vialii, 474 nucleotides. RefSeq lists it as uncharacterized. The transcript has 2 exons. The record is from RefSeq and is a predicted model, not a curated record. NCBI's taxonomy places the organism in Eukaryota, Viridiplantae, Streptophyta, Magnoliopsida, Ericales, Ericaceae.